UUGAUCCUGGCUCAGGACGAACGCUGGCGGCGUGCCUAACACAUGCAAGUCGAACGGAGUUGUCUUUAACACUGAGCACUUUAGAGAUAGAGUGUUAAGUGUUGAAGACAACUUAGUGGCGGACGGGUGAGUAACGCGUGGGCAACCUACCUCUAACCGGGGGAUAACACAGGGAAACUUGUGCUAAUACCGCAUAAAAUGGUAGAAGGACAUCCUUCAACGAUCAAAGGAGCAAUCCGGUGAGAGAUGGGCCCGCGUCCAAUUAGCUAGUUGGUGAUGUAACGGAUCACCAAGGCGACGAUUGGUAGCCGAACUGAGAGGUUGAUCGGCCACAUUGGGACUGAGACACGGCCCAGGACUUCCUUACGGGAGAGGGCAGCAGUGGGGAAUAUUUGCGCAUGGGGGGAACCCUGACGCAGCAACGCCGCGUGAAGGAUGAAGGUUUUCGGAUCGUAAACUUCUUUGAUGAGGGACGAAAAAAAUGACGGUACCUCAAAAACAAGCCACGGCUAACUACGUGCCAGCAGCCGCGGUAAUACGUAGGUGGCGAGCGUUGUCCGGAAUUACUGGGUGUAAAGGGCGUGUAGGCGGGGAUGUAAGUCAGAUGUGAAAUACCGAGGCUUAACUUCGGGGCUGCAUCUGAAACUAUAUUUCUUGAGUAUCGGAGAGGAAAGUGGAAUUCCCAGUGUAGCGGUGAAAUGCGUAGAUAUUGGGAGGAACACCAGUGGCGAAGGCGACUUUCUGGACGAUAACUGACGCUGAGGCGCGAAAGCGUGGGGAGCAAACAGGAUUAGAUACCCUGGUAGUCCACGCCGUAAACGAUGGAUACUAGGUGUAGGGGGUAUCGACCCCUUCUGUGCCGGAGUUAACACAAUAAGUAUCCCACCUGGGGAGUACGACCGCAAGGUUGAAACUCAAAGGAAUUGACGGGGGCCCGCACAAGCAGUGGAGUAUGUGGUUAAUUCGAAGCAACGCGAAGAACCUUACCAGGGCUUGACAUGCAGGUGAAUAGUUGUAAAAAUAUGCUAGUCUUCGGGACACUGUGCAGUGGUGCAUGGUGUCGUCAGCUCGUGUCGUGAGAAGUUGGGUUAAGUCCCCGCAACGAAGCGCAACCCUCUGUUGUUAAGUUCAUUCAUUAAGUUGGGCACUCUAACGAGACUGCCGGUGACAAAUCGGAGGAAGGUGGGGACGACGUCAAAUCAUCAUGCCCCUUAUGUCCUGGGCUACACACGUACUACAAUGGCUAUAACAGCAGGGAGCUAAGGAGUAAUCCGGAGCAAAUCCUGAAAAAUAGUCCCAGUUCGGAUUGUGGGCUGCAACCCGCCCACAUGAAGUCGGAAUUGCUAGUAAUGGCAGGUCAGCAUACUGCCGUGAAUACGUUCCCGGGCCUUGUA
Molecule: ribosomal RNA, 1394 nt
Filed under: uncultured Oscillospiraceae bacterium
Lineage: Bacteria; Bacillati; Bacillota; Clostridia; Eubacteriales; Oscillospiraceae
Description: bacterial SSU rRNA
Rfam family: Bacterial small subunit ribosomal RNA
Source: RNAcentral